Haliotis rubra (blacklip abalone) is the source of this 1898-nucleotide long non-coding RNA. RefSeq lists it as uncharacterized. The transcript has 2 exons. NCBI's taxonomy places the organism in Eukaryota, Metazoa, Mollusca, Gastropoda, Lepetellida, Haliotidae. The record is from RefSeq and is a predicted model, not a curated record.
CUAUAUCCGGUGUGGCUUCAAAACUAAGGAGGGGGAAUUCAAAUCUUUUACUUAUAUCUCAAUAUACUGCGUAGUUAUGAGUAAUAUGCGUCCACCGGCUCGCAGUCCGUAUCAACAAGGUAACAUGUCUACUCCGACAGGCCAUAAUAGCCAGCGAUCUCCUAAGGUCAAGAAACAUAAUAGUAGCCCGGCCUGGGGGUCUGGUGCAAUUAUACGCCCAAUGUCGAAUUGUCCGCGACCAGGUCAGUUUACUUCGCCUCCGCCACAAUAUAAUUUUACAUCUCCUCCUCAAGGGCCACACCACCAGCAGUUUCCCCCCCCUACCGUAAUUUCAUGACUAGUCCCCGUCAUUAUGGUAACAGCUUCGGUAGUAAUGGAAACACGUUUAGAACACCACAACCAAUGGCCCGAAUCCCCUCACCUCAGAAAAGCUGGAGCUGUGACAGGAAUUUCCGACCAAUGUCACACAAGAAGUUAAAUAUGAAGAGUCCUAGACGAGACCCUAAUUCUAAUCCUGGAGGAUGCAAUGACAUAGCACUAUACUAUCACCCGAGUAUGUUGGCUGAUCCGUGGCAAAAAAUGACUCCCGUUCCCGUAACACACACACCCUCUGCGACCACAUGAUAACAAUACAGGAACGAUGUUCAAUAUCAGGUUAUGCGGUACUAUUUUGCCAAGUACAGUAACAGAUUUAUCUUCCGUGACGACAGACAAAAUGUGGUUAUGGCUUAACAUGGCAGCAGUUUCUUACAAUGGACACAUACCUCAAGAAUGUGUGGUCAAUAUACGUUAUUGGUGGGAUUGAUUUUCUUUCAGCGGUAAUCUUUACAUGGAGUAAAAAUAAUAAUUUGGACUUAGAAGCAAGACCUGCUCAAUGGGCCCUUCAGUCUGCAUAUUUUUGACAGUGGAUUAACCCUAACAAGGAGGCAGCUUUUCUGAGAUUGAGUGUUAAAGUGUUAAAACUUUGAACACUUUCAAGUGUGGAUUAUUAUUUGACAGUGGAAUGUCGUUUUAUUUUGUGCGCUGUGAAACUUGAACCUGUUCAUUAACCAUAUUAACUGUUUAAGCAUUGAGUGAUCAAGAAAGGGUUGAAGUAUUUUGGGAUUUCUUCGACAUCUAGCUGUCAAAUUGGUACUCAUCCUAAGUGUUCUUUGUAAAAUCGCCAUACUAUUUGUCAUCACGAUUCAUUUGAACUUUUCGUUAUAUUUUAGAGAAGAAUCAGUUCCAUUAUUGAUAGUCCAAGAUGUUUCAAAUAAAAUCAGAAAUUUGGACGUUUGUAUAUUUGGCUAUCUGGUAAGCACAUUUUAAUUUCGGCUUUUUAAAAAAAAUGUCAUCAUUUCGUUUCUAACUGUCAAGUUAUGUAAGAUGCAGCCAUUGUUUCUUGUGUGAUGCUAACAGACUUGAUAAGACUUAGAAAUUUGUUAUUUGUUGACAAUUUUAGACUGUCAGUUUUAGUUGUUUUAUAUAUUGUAAAUUGUGUAUAUUAUUUGUGUAUUUAUCACAGAGUGUCAUUAAACUUUGUAUAUAUAUCUAUCUGUUCAAAAGAUAGCCUAACCUUGUUAAAACCUGAUGAAUGUUUUAUCUUGAGAAUAUUAACUGCAGUAUAUUUUAACAUACUUAAGGAUCCUCUCUGAAAUAACUGAUGAAAAGUCCUACAAAUCGUCCAUCAUAUUAUUCAUUGUUUUGACCUUCCUAGUAUGUGUUUUGUUCAAGAGGAAAUAUCAGAUUCUAAUUGUAUGCCCAGUCUUAUAAUAGGAAUAGUAUGGAUUGGAAAAAAGCUGAUCAAUUAUUAAUAAUGAAGUUAUGAAUUAAUUUUCUGUCUAAAUGUGUAUAGAUAUAAAAACAUUUAUAUAGUAGUUCUUAGAUGAAUAAAAGGAACGAUUGAUUUCAAAUUGAAA